RNAcentral lists this ribosomal RNA (1008 nucleotides) under human gut metagenome. RNAcentral's name for it is "bacterial LSU rRNA". It matches the Rfam family "Bacterial large subunit ribosomal RNA", at positions 1923 to 2925 of the family's 2925-position model. The record is from RNAcentral.
GUAAACGGCGGCCGUAACUAUAACGGUCCUAAGGUAGCGAAAUUCCUUGUCGGGCAAGUUCCGACCUGCACGAAUGGCAUAAUGAUGGCCACACUGUCUCCUCCUGAGACUCAGUGAAGUUGAAAUGUUUGUGAUGAUGCAAUCUCCCCGCGGCUAGACGGAAAGACCCCAUGAACCUUUACUGCAGCUUUGCAUUGGACUUUGAACCGAUCUGUGUAGGAUAGGUGGGAGGCAGUGAAGCUAGGACGCCAGUCUUAGCGGAGCCAACCUUGAAAUACCACCCUGAUUUGUUUGAGGUUCUAACCUAGGAGCGUGAUCCGCUUCGGGGACCGUGCAUGGUAGGCAGUUUGACUGGGGCGGUCUCCUCCUAAAGGGUAACGGAGGAGUGCGAAGGUACGCUAGGUACGGUCGGAAAUCGUGCUGAUAGUGCAAUGGCAAAAGCGUGCUUGACUGCGAGACCGACAAGUCGAGCAGAUACGAAAGUAGGUCAUAGUGAUCCGGUGGCUCUGCAUGGAAGGGCCAUCGCUCAACGGAUAAAAGGUACUCUGGGGAUAACAGGCUGAUACCGCCCAAGAGUUCAUAUCGACGGCGGUGUUUGGCACCUCGAUGUCGGCUCAUCUCAUCCUGGGGCUGUAGUCGGUCCCAAGGGUAUGGCUGUUCGCCAUUUAAAGAGGUACGUGAGCUGGGUUUAAAACGUCGUGAGACAGUUUUGUCCCUAUCUGCCGUGGGCGUUGGAAGAUUGACGGGGGCUGCUCCUAGUACGAGAGGACCGGAGUGGACUCACCUCUGGUGUACCGGUUGUCACGCCAGUGGCAUCGCCGGGUAGCUAUGUGGGGAAAGGAUAACCGCUGAAAGCAUCUAAGCGGGAAACCUGCCUGAAGAUAAGUCUUCCUGGAGGCUUUGACCUCCCUGAAGAGUCGUUCGAGACCAGGACGUUGAUAGGUUGGAUGUGCAAGCGCUGUGAGGCGUUGAGCUGACCAAUACUAAUUGCUCGUGAAGCUUGAUCCU